Molecule: long non-coding RNA, 2053 nt
Organism: Equus caballus (horse)
Lineage: Eukaryota; Metazoa; Chordata; Mammalia; Perissodactyla; Equidae
Source: Ensembl
GAGCGGCCCCGCCCCCGCGCCGGGCGGAGCUGCGGGAGAAGGCUGGGCGGCCGCCCGUGUGCUGCAGGAGUCUGCUGCUGGGACGUUUCCAUGCCCGCUUCUUCCCUUUAUUCCCUUCUUCAUCUCUUUUAUUUCCCUUUCAUUCCUCCCAUUCUUUCCUUCUCCCUCCUCUUUCCCUUCCUCUUUCCUUCCUUUUCCCUCGCCUUUUCCUUUCUUUCUUCCCUCCCUACAUCCUUCUCUUCCUUUCUUUCCUUCUCUCCCUUCCUCCAUCUCUUCGUCUUUCCCUCUCUCCUUCUUUCUCCCACUUUCCUUCCUCUCUCCUCUCUUUUCUCCCGCCGUUCUGCUUCCUUCCCUUUUAAUUUUUCCCCUUAAAAAAUUGUUUUUAAACUGUUUUGAACUGUGGUAAAAAACAUAAAAUUUAUCAUCUUAACCAUUUUUGUUUUUAAAGAUUUGCUGUGAGCUAACAUCUGUUGCCAGUAUUCUUUUUAAAUUCUUCCUCUUCUCCGCAAAGCCCCCCAGUACAUGGUUGUAUCUUCUAGUUGUGAGUGCCUCUGGUUGUGGCAUGUGGGACGCCGCCUCAAGCGUUGCCUGAUGAGCCGUGCCAUGUCCGCGCCCAGGAUCCCAACUAGCAAAACCCCCUGGAUGGGAAAGCGGAGCAUGAACCCAAACACUUGCCCGCAGGCUGGCCCCCCAUCUGAACCAUUUUUGAGCAUAUGGUUCCGUGGUGUUGAGUACAUUCACAUUGUUGUCAGCCAUCUCCAGAACUCUUCAUCCUGCAGAACAGAAACUCUAGACCUGUUGAAUAACGACAACCAUUUCCCCCUCCUCCCAGCCUCUCGUAACCACGUUCUACUCUUUUUUUCUUCAUUCUUCCUUUUGCCUUUCUGUGCCUUUCUCCCUUUUCCUUUAUCUCUCCUUUUUCUUCCCCUCCCUCUUUCCGUCUUUCUCUUCUUAAAAGCCUGAUGGCCCUGAUUCACCCUUGCCAGCCCUCCACAGCCUCUGCCAGGGGCUGGGCCAGAGGCCUGUCAGCCAGGGCUGUGAGCGCGGGUGAGGAAACUGAGCCUCUUUCCUCAGAACAGCGAAGGGAUUUGCCGUGGCCAGGGAGCUGGGAAGGAGCAUGUACUCAAAGAUCCGACCAGGAAGAAAGAUUUGAUCUCCCGGCAGGAUCCACUUCCCAUGGCGACGCCUUCUUGAGUCGAAGCUCUGAUCUUUUUGGUGAAUGCCUUGGAGGUUUGGGUUCAGUGGACUUUGACUGCGUGUCUCCAGAAAGCUCAGCACAUGCCUCCUGAAGCAGAUAUCCAGCCGGCUGAAGCUUGCUGCCGUGGAACCAAUCGUGAGACCGUUGCACAGUGGUGUCUGCGUGAGAUCAGUGCAAUACCGUGAAGAGUCCGCUUGAUUUGGGGGAAGUGCUCGCACAGCAGUCAAGAGGUCUAGAUCCAGGAGAAGAGCAAGCUGAGGUGCCUGGUCCCUGUCUAUGAGCGGCUGCCCUGGCAGAGAGAGCAGUCAUCCAAGGAAUGCCACUGAGCUGACUGCAGAGGCCAUCAGAGGCGGGCCUGUCCAAGCUGCCCAGCGCCAUUCAGGACAAGUGAAGCCUUCCCACUUGCUCCUGACUCAGGCUGCAGUAUCUCUGGGCUGGGCUGUCUCCUGUUCCACAGGUCCUGGGCUGAUAGCCAGACUGACUUCCUGACUGGCAUUCCUGCCUCCAGCCCCAGCUCACUGCAGUCCACCCCCACAUCAGCCGGAGAGCCUUCCUCAAAGUGACUAGAAGAGCACACAUCGACACUGAAGGUAGAGUGGGGAGCUUGGAAGAACCUGGAAGACACCAUUGCACCCUGAUUCAACACACCCUGAGGGCCGUCCCACUCUAGACUUUCUGCAUUGUGAGAUAAUACACUUCUGUUAUUCACAGCUGAAAGCUUCUUGGCCCAUACAGAGAGGUGAGGUACAUAGAAGGAUGAGAAGAGCUCAAAGGAAAGACUUGGAGAACCCGGAUUUUGUCCCAGCUUUGUUCCCACUGUGGUGCACCCCCGGGCAAGGUGCUGCCUCUCACUGG